Molecule: ribosomal RNA, 460 nt
Filed under: uncultured bacterium
Lineage: Bacteria
Description: partial 16S ribosomal RNA
Rfam family: Bacterial small subunit ribosomal RNA
Source: RNAcentral
CCUACGGGAGGCUGCAGUGAGGAAUAUUGGUCAAUGGCCGAAAGGCUGAACCAGCCAAGUCGCGUGAAGGAUGACUGCCCUACGGGUUGUAAACUUCUUUUAUCGAGGAAUAAAGUGAGGCACGCGUGCCUUUUUGUGUGUACUUGAUGAAUAAGCAUCGGCUAACUCCGUGCCAGCAGCCGCGGUAAUACGGAGGAUCCGAGCGUUAUCCGGAUUUAUUGGGUUUAAAGGGAGCGUAGGUGGGUUGUGAAGUCAGUGGGGAAAGUUUGCGGCUCAACCGUAAUAUUGCAAUUGAUACUGGCAGUCUUGAGUACAGUUGAGGUAGGCGGAAUGCGUGGUGUAGCGGUGAAAUGCAUAGAUAUCACGAAGAACUCCGAUUGCGAAGGCAGCUUACCAAACCGCCACUGACAUUGAUGCUCGAAAGUGUGGGUAUCAAACAGGAUUAGAUACCCGUGUAGUC